RNAcentral lists this ribosomal RNA (720 nucleotides) under uncultured Clostridium sp. RNAcentral describes it as "bacterial SSU rRNA". It matches the Rfam family "Bacterial small subunit ribosomal RNA", at positions 28 to 776 of the family's 1533-position model. Lineage: Bacteria; Bacillati; Bacillota; Clostridia; Eubacteriales; Clostridiaceae. The record is from RNAcentral.
GAUGAACGCUGGCGGCGUGCCUAACACAUGCAAGUCGAGCGAUCUUCUUCGGAAGAGAGCGGCGGACGGGUGAGUAACGCGUGGGUAACCUGCCCUGUACACACGGAUAACAUACCGAAAGGUAUGCUAAUACGGGAUAACAUAAGAAAGUCGCAUGGCUUUCUUAUCAAAGCUUUUGCGGUACAGGAUGGACCCGCGUCUGAUUAGCUAGUUGGUAAGGUAACGGCUUACCAAGGCGACGAUCAGUAGCCGACCUGAGAGGGUGAUCGGCCACAUUGGAACUGAGACACGGUCCAAACUCCUACGGGAGGCAGCAGUGGGGAAUAUUGCACAAUGGGCGAAAGCCUGAUGCAGCAACGCCGCGUGAGCGAUGAAGGCCUUCGAGUCGUAAAGCUCUGUCCUCAAGGAAGAUAAUGACGGUACUUGAGGAGGAAGCCCCGGCUAACUACGUGCCAGCAGCCGCGGUAAUACGUAGGGGGCUAGCGUUAUCCGGAAUUACUGGGCGUAAAGGGUGCGUAGGCGGUCUUUCAAGUCAGAAGUGAAAGGCUACGGCUCAACCGUAGUAAGCUUUUGAAACUGUAAGACUUGAGUGCAGGAGAGGAGAGUGGAAUUCCUAGUGUAGCGGUGAAAUGCGUAGAUAUUAGGAGGAACACCAGUUGCGAAGGCGGCUCUCUGGACUGUAACUGACGCUGAGGCACGAAAGCGUGGGGAGCAAACAGG